CUGUGUUCUGCUGGUGUGAGAGAAGUCUUAGACUGCGUGAAGCAUGGGACCAGUGAUCCUCCUCCCAGAUCUGCUCUGAGAGACAUGCCAACGUGGUGGGGAGUGGAGCCGCCUGUGGAGCUGAGCUGCUUGCUGUGGCAUCAGGUGGCUGUGUGGCCCUGACUGCAGGGAUGGAAGGGUGAGAAGGCUGCAUGUGGGGCUCUUCUCUCUCCUUUGGGAGCCCUGCCCUCAUUGUGUGGACUCCUCAGUGGAAAAAACAGUUGCCAGGAACUCUUUUGCACUUAUGCAUUGGAGAUGGGGGCAAGAGAAACUGCGUUGAACUAUUGAACUGGGCAAAAGCAUAUGACUGAACACAGGACUGCUGCACCCACAUUCUUGAUAAAAAUUGGACACUCUGCAAAAAAUAUUUUCCUAGUAACUGUCACAAUGUACUCAGAUAAUUUUGUACAUUGUAAAAUGUAAUUAUGUCUUCCAGUCAGAAUUUUUGGAAGACAACCGGUGCAAAUUUCUGGAGACUUCUGCAGUUUGCUAAUAAAGACCCUGGGUGUUUACUGCUCCUCA
This 561-nucleotide long non-coding RNA is filed under the name Felis catus (domestic cat). RNAcentral's name for it is "lncRNA (ENSFCAG00000053490.1)". The record is from RNAcentral. Lineage: Eukaryota; Metazoa; Chordata; Mammalia; Carnivora; Felidae.